UCUAAACAUCGUACUGGAAUUUUCCCAUUCGCAGGAAAUCACAGUUUUAAAGUGGGAAAAUUAUUUGAAUCACAUUCCACUGCAGUCCUACCAUCUUCGUGGUCUUGAAGUAAUUCUUUCUGCAAUAGUUCAUCUUCAUUGGCUAAACCAGCAUUCAACUAAGUUUUUUAAAGUAAAUGAACAAUUGGACAAACUGUCUGCGAUGUCAUAGAAAAAGAACCCUUGUUUAUUGGCACAUAGCUAAUCUUCAUUGAGUAUAACAUCACAGAAGGAGCAAGUCAACAAACUGAAACUAAUUAACGUAUGUUCUUUUUAAAUAUAUAGUUCUCCUUCAUUUGUAU
Molecule: long non-coding RNA, 341 nt
Organism: Daphnia carinata
Lineage: Eukaryota; Metazoa; Arthropoda; Branchiopoda; Diplostraca; Daphniidae
Exons: 3
Source: RefSeq, a predicted model, not a curated record